RNAcentral lists this ribosomal RNA (509 nucleotides) under uncultured Glomus. Its description in RNAcentral is "SSU rRNA". It matches the Rfam family "Eukaryotic small subunit ribosomal RNA", at positions 569 to 1081 of the family's 1831-position model. Lineage: Eukaryota; Fungi; Glomeromycota; Glomeromycetes; Glomerales; Glomeraceae. The record is from RNAcentral.
AGCAGCCGCGGUAAUUCCAGCUCCAAUAGCGUAUAUUAAAGUUGUUGCAGUUAAAAAGCUCGUAGUUGAAUUUCGGGGUCAGUAGGUUGGUCGUGCCACUGGUAUGCACUGGUCUCACUGAUUCCUCCUUCCUGAUGAACCGUAAUGCCAUUAAUUUGGUGUUGCGGGGAGUCUGGACUGUUACUUUGAAAAAUUAGAGUGUUUAAAGCAGGCUAACGCUUGAAUACAUUAGCAUGGAAUAAUGAAAUAGGACGAUCGAUCCUAUUUUGUUGGUUUCUAGGAUUGACGUAAUGAUUAAUAGGGAUAGUUGGGGGCAUUAGUAUUCAAUUGUCAGAGGUGAAAUUCUUGGAUUUAUUGAAGACUAACUACUGCGAAAGCAUUUGCCAAGGAUGUUUUCAUUAAUCAAGAACGAAAGUUAGGGGAUCGAAGACGAUCAGAUACCGUCGUAGUCUUAACCAUAAACUAUGCCGACUAGGGAUCGGAUGAUGUUAAUUUUUAAUGACUCAUUC